CGUAGGUGGCAAGCGUUGUCCGGAUUUAUUGGGUUUAAAGGGUGCGUAGGCGGUGAUUUAAGUCAGUGGUGAAAUACUUCAGCUUAACUGGAGAGGUGCCAUUGAUACUGGGUCACUUGAGUACUGAUGAGGUAGGCGGAAUGGACGGUGUAGCGGUGAAAUGCUUAGAUAUCGUCCAGAACACCGAUAGCGAAGGCAGCUUACUAAGGAGUAACUGACACUGAGGCACGAAAGUGUGGGGAUCAAACAGGAUUAGAUACCCUGGUAGUCCACACUGUAAACGAUGAUCACUCGAUGUUGGCGAUACACAGCCAGCGUCUUAGCAAAAGCGAUAAGUGAUCCACCUGGGGAGUACGCCGGCAACGGUG
RNAcentral lists this ribosomal RNA (368 nucleotides) under uncultured organism. Its description in RNAcentral is "bacterial SSU rRNA". It matches the Rfam family "Bacterial small subunit ribosomal RNA", at positions 526 to 896 of the family's 1533-position model. The record is from RNAcentral.